GUUAUAGCUCGGUUGGUAGAGCAUGAGACUCUUAAUCUCAGGAUCAUGAUCAUGGGUUCAAAUCCCAUGUGGGGUGAAAUA
Non-coding RNA from Podarcis lilfordi (Lilford's wall lizard), 81 nucleotides. The record is from the annotation of a GenBank genome assembly. NCBI's taxonomy places the organism in Eukaryota, Metazoa, Chordata, Lepidosauria, Squamata, Lacertidae.